This 467-nucleotide ribosomal RNA is filed under the name uncultured bacterium. RNAcentral's name for it is "partial 16S ribosomal RNA". It matches the Rfam family "Bacterial small subunit ribosomal RNA", at positions 29 to 507 of the family's 1533-position model. The record is from RNAcentral.
ACUAACGCUGGCGGCGUGCUUCACCCCUGCCAGUCGAACGGAAAGGCCCUGCUUUUGUGGGGUGCUCGCGUGGCGAACGGGUGAGUAACACGUGAGUAACCUGCCCUUGACUUUGGGAUAACUUCAGGAAACUGGGGCUAAUACCGGAUAGGAGCUCCUGCUGCAUGGUGGGGGUUGGAAAGUUUCGGCGGUUGGGGAUGGACUCGCGGCUUAUCAGCUUGUUGGUGGGGUAGUGGCUUACCAAGGCUUUGACGGGUAGCCGGCCUGAGAGGGUGACCGGCCACAUUGGGACUGAGAUACGGCCCAGACUCCUACGGGAGGCAGCAGUGGGGAAUAUUGCACAAUGGGCGGAAGCCUGAUGCAGCAACGCCGCGUGCGGGAUGACGGCCUUCGGGUUGUAAACCGCUUUCGCCUGUGACGAAGCGUGAGUGACGGUAAUGGGUAAAGAAGCACCGGCUAACUACGUG